GGACUCUAAAGAAAGAUAUGAAAUUGAAUGUCCAAAGUAAGACUCUGUCAUUUGUUCAUGUGCUUUUUCUUGAAUUGUGAUGAGGUGAUGACUCAGAGUUUGAAGGAUGAACACGAUGUAUCGCAGACAGUGAAGAGAAAGAAAUAGUUCAAGGUGCGUUAUGUUUCAAGCAAGCUGAUGUAGGUUUGCGCCAGGAGGAAUGAUGUUAGGACCACGCCAAGAAGUGUCGUAUCAGGUAUUUAUGCAUACAAAGCAAACUCAGGUGGCAUGUUACUUGAAAAUUUGUGCUUUAGGAUAACUAAAGUAGAAUAGGUUUCCAUUUUAAAUAUCGUUGUAAUUUAAUUACCAUGGAUUGUAGUUGUGUUUACUUGUUGUAUUAGUAAUCUUAUAUUUUGGCUUGAAAUUUUGUAACUGAGUUGUAACUAAUUGCAUCUUGUAUAAGUAGAUUAAGAUUUUGUCUGUAUUAUGGUGGUAAUACCCAAGAUCCGGAUUCAACCAAUUGGAUCAGGUUAAAGGUGUUACAAAAAGAAUGAAGUUAUAAUUUAUGGAUUAUGUAGUCAAAAGUGAA
This is a long non-coding RNA of Gossypium raimondii (Peruvian cotton), 568 nucleotides long. RefSeq lists it as uncharacterized. NCBI's taxonomy places the organism in Eukaryota, Viridiplantae, Streptophyta, Magnoliopsida, Malvales, Malvaceae. The transcript has 2 exons. The record is from RefSeq and is a predicted model, not a curated record.